RNAcentral lists this ribosomal RNA (492 nucleotides) under uncultured bacterium. RNAcentral's name for it is "partial 16S ribosomal RNA". It matches the Rfam family "Bacterial small subunit ribosomal RNA", at positions 29 to 507 of the family's 1533-position model. The record is from RNAcentral.
AGUGAACGCUGGCGGUAGGCCUAACACAUGCAAGUCGAACGGCAGCACAGUAAGAGCUUGCUCUUACGGGUGGCGAGUGGCGGACGGGUGAGGAAUACAUCGGAAUCUACUUUUUCGUGGGGGAUAACGUAGGGAAACUUACGCUAAUACCGCAUACGACCUACGGGUGAAAGCAGGGGAUCUUCGGACCUUGCGCGAUUGAAUGAGCCGAUGUCGGAUUAGCUAGUUGGCGGGGUAAAGGCCCACCAAGGCGACGAUCCGUAGCUGGUCUGAGAGGAUGUACAGCCACACUGGAACUGAGACACGGUCCAGACUCCUACGGGAGGCAGCAGUGGGGAAUAUUGGACAAUGGGCGCAAGCCUGAUCCAGCCAUACCGCGUGGGUGAAGAAGGCCUUCGUGUUGUAAAGCCCUUUUGUUGUGAAAGAAAAGCAGCAGGUUAAUACCCCGCUGUUCUGACGGUACCCAAAGAAUAAGCACCGGCUAACUUCGUG